GAACGAACGGAGGAGAGCUUGCUCUCCAAUGUUAGUGGCGGACGGGUGCGUAACACGUGAGCAACUUGUCCUUCGGUGGGGGAUAGCCGGCCCAACGGCCGGGUAAUACCGCGUAUUGCAUCAUUAUCGCAUGGUGUUGAUGUGAAAGCGGCCGCAAGGUCGCGCCGGGGGAGGGGCUCGCGGCGUAUCAGCUUGUUGGUGGGGUAACGGCCUACCAAGGCGACGACGCGUAGCUGGUCUGAGAGGAUGAUCAGCCACAUUGGGACUGAGAUACGGCCCAGACUCCUACGGGAGGCAGCAGUGGGGAAUAUUGCGCAAUGGCCGCAAGGCUGACGCAGCGACGCCGUGUGUGGGAUGAAGGCUCUCGGGUUGUAAACCACUGUCAGGAGGGACGAAUACUCGGCUUCGAAUAGUUGACCGAGGGUGACGGUACCUCCAAAGGAAGCACCGGCUAACUCCGUGCCAGCAGCCGCGGUAACACGGAGGGUGCGAGCGUUGUCCGGAUUCACUGGGCGUAAAGCGCGCGUAGGCGGCUUUGUAAGUCAUCUGUGAAAUCCCGG
This 560-nucleotide ribosomal RNA is filed under the name uncultured bacterium. RNAcentral describes it as "bacterial SSU rRNA". It matches the Rfam family "Bacterial small subunit ribosomal RNA", at positions 64 to 605 of the family's 1533-position model. The record is from RNAcentral.